UACCAGCUCUCCGAGUGGUGUGGAUGUUUAUUGAGCCUAAAGCAUCCGUAGCUGGCUGGACAAGUCCCCUGUUAAAUCCACCGAUUUAAUCGUUGGUGUGCGGGGGAUACUGUUCGGCUAGGGGACGGGAGAGGCCGACGGUAUUUCCGGGGUAGGGGUGAAAUCCUAUAAUCCCGGGAAGACCACCAGUGGCGAAGGCUGUCGGCUAGAACGCGCCCGACGGUGAGGGAUGAAAGCUGGGGGAGCGAACCGGAUUAGAUACCCGGGUGGUCCCAGCUGUAAACGAUGCAGGCUAGGUGUUUGGGCGGCCACGUGCCGCUCUAGUGCCGCAAGGAAGCUGUUAAGCCUGCCGCCUGGGGAGUACGGCCGCAAGGCUAGAAACUUAAAGGAAUUGGGCGGGGAGCACCACGAAGGGGUGAAGCUUGCGGUUU
This 431-nucleotide ribosomal RNA is filed under the name uncultured archaeon. RNAcentral describes it as "bacterial SSU rRNA". It matches the Rfam family "Archaeal small subunit ribosomal RNA", at positions 474 to 903 of the family's 1478-position model. The record is from RNAcentral.